RNAcentral lists this ribosomal RNA (92 nucleotides) under Astragalus abditus. Its description in RNAcentral is "partial 26S ribosomal RNA". It matches the Rfam family "Eukaryotic large subunit ribosomal RNA", at positions 1 to 89 of the family's 3401-position model. RNAcentral also lists the same sequence under 2 other names. Lineage: Eukaryota; Viridiplantae; Streptophyta; Magnoliopsida; Fabales; Fabaceae. The record is from RNAcentral.
CGAGACCUCAGGUCAGGCGGGGCUACCCGCUGAAUUUAAGCAUAUCAAUAAGCGGAGGAAAAAGAAACUAACAAGGAUUCCCUUAGUAACGG